GACUAGGCAUAAUUGGGCUGCCUGGGAAUAUGAGGGGAUAAGUCUGCAUGAGCCAAAAACUGUCAAGAAGUUGGAACCUACAGGGAGCAAGCAUGGGAAGGAAUUCCUCUGUGAAGGCGUCUGGGGGCAGAUGAAGAUCUCUUGGCGGAAGGAAGAUCUCUAAUCUCCUAUAGAAUACAGCCAGCGGAGGGGGUGGCCGUUUGCACCAGCAGAGUGGUGCCAUCAAGCCCAUGGAUUCAGGCAUUGGAGUAAUGAAAGAUAUUCUGCAUUAUACCAGAGAGGAGCUCUGGGGCAAGACAAGCUGAUCUUAUUCUGACUUUUAAGCAAGCUGAAGAGACCAUGCCUUCCACAUGAAAGAAACCAGAGAGGUUGGAAUAUCCAAAAUAUUGAGGUUUUUUGUUUUGUGACAUGUACUGCUCCUAACUUGAAAGUAAUACGAAUAAAUGCUGGAAAAGACUUCUUGAAAUAAAUUCUUACAGCUUCAAACAAGUACACUAAA
Long non-coding RNA from Chelonia mydas (Green sea turtle), 499 nucleotides. RefSeq lists it as uncharacterized. The transcript is spliced from 3 exons. The record is from RefSeq and is a predicted model, not a curated record. NCBI's taxonomy places the organism in Eukaryota, Metazoa, Chordata, Testudines, Cheloniidae.